UUUCUCUCUCGUCUUUUCCAGUUUUCAAGCGAUAGGCUCUUCACCUGCUCUCUCUCCUUUUUGGAGAAAAUAUUCGCUUGUUUCUCACUGCAUCAACAAGAAGACGGCAUUUUUCUUCCUCCAUCUUCUCCAGAAAAUCGAAUGUUGGAGCGAUUUCCAUCAACGCGGAUCAAGCAACAAGCGUAACCUCGGACGACUGGCGCACGGGGAUUGGGAGAUUAUUUGCAGUCUCCAAAAAGAAUGGGGUGCACGCUAUGUUGAAGAACUGGGCGAAUGGAUGAAGGGCUGUUUGGAAAACCACCCAUGUUUGAGGCACUGACGGAGGAAGAACUCGUGAACAAUCCGGUGGUGAAGAUAUUGACCAGCGACCGAGGAAGGCCAAAAUGUUGCCGGAAAUGGUGGGUGGACAUUUCAAGCAGUGUGCUGACGCAUUGCUCCAUCUCUAUGAUAGAAAUCAACUAAUGGCUUUAUGUUUGUGUACCAGUAGUAAUUUUUUGGGACCAUUCUAAGUGAACUUUCAUGCAUUUUUUGGGAUCCUUUGAAAGAUUGAGAUAUUCUUUAUAAUGCAAAAGAGAAAUUGCAUACC
Long non-coding RNA from Eucalyptus grandis, 586 nucleotides. RefSeq lists it as uncharacterized. The record is from RefSeq and is a predicted model, not a curated record. The transcript is spliced from 2 exons. Lineage: Eukaryota; Viridiplantae; Streptophyta; Magnoliopsida; Myrtales; Myrtaceae.